UGGGGAAUUUGGACAAUGGGCGCAAGCCUGAUCCAGCCAUGCCGCGUGCAGGAAGAAGCAUCUAUGGUGUGUAAACUGCUUUUGUACGGGAAGAAACACUCCUACGUGUAGGAGCUUGACGGUACCGUAAGAAUAAGGAUCGGCUAACUCCGUGCCAGCAGCCGCGGUAAUACGGAGGAUCCAAGCGUUAUCCGGAAUCAUUGGGUUUAAAGGGUCCGUAGGCGGUUUAAUAAGUCAGUGGUGAAAGCCCAUCGCUCAACGAUGGAACGGCCAUUGAUACUGUUAGACUUGAAUUACAAGGAAGUAACUAGAAUAUGUAGUGCAGCGGUGAAAUGCUUAGAUAUUACAUGGAAUACCAAUUGCGAAGGCAGGUUACUACUUGUGGAUUGACGCUGAUGGACGAAAGCGUGGGGAGCGAACA
RNAcentral lists this ribosomal RNA (421 nucleotides) under uncultured bacterium. RNAcentral's name for it is "bacterial SSU rRNA". It matches the Rfam family "Bacterial small subunit ribosomal RNA", at positions 356 to 774 of the family's 1533-position model. The record is from RNAcentral.